UUCUCCUUCUCCUCUUCCUUCUCCUUCCCUUCUCCUCCUCCUUCUCUCUCUUUCCCCCUUUCUCCCUCUCUUCUUCUCAUUCUUCCCCUUCUUUUCCUUCGUUUCCUCCUCCUCCUCCUCUCAAAUUUAGUUUUCCACAGAAUCCGCUGUCCUUUGGAAUUUUUUUUUCUUUUUUCUUUUUUUUUUUUGCUUAGUAUCUGUUCAUUUCUCCCAGAAUCAUAGUUUGGAAUUAAUGUCCAAAUAGUAGUUAAUCAGAUGAUAGAGAUUAAAGUGAAGGGAGGGCAUACACUGGAAUAGCAAAAUAUAUCUGCAGUGAAACCCAGUGAACAGAAUACUUCAUGUUAGGUUCAAGUAUUGGAGGAAAAACAAAUACUUUCAUUAAAAUCAAAGCUACUUUUCAGAAUCUCAUUAUAUUCUUUUAAUGAGAAAUGUAUUUGUUGGUUGUCUUGUCGUCUUUGACUCUUAAAAUGUAACCAAGCAAAAAGUGCCUAAGAAUGUGAUGGCUACAUUGCCUUUAACUUAACUUCGUUAGUAGCAGAGGUUCCAUGAGUUAUGAGUACUCUGCUCUGUGAAUGUCUCCAUUUUUGAGGUGCCUUUGUGCAGUAUUGAUAGGAACCAUUCCUGGGCUCCACUUACAGACUUCUGUUGGUGAACAGGAUCUUACAAAGCAGAACAGAAGUUUGUGAUAAGGAAGAGGAUGAAGAGAGCAGGUCCUUGUGUUCUUCAGAAACAGUGAACAUUAUCCUACUGAUUUUGGACAAAGGGAGUUCUCCAAGUAGGAAGUGACACAGAACGUAUCACAGUGCCUUUCCAUUCCAGGUUUUUGGUAAUGAGUAAUGAAUGAAUCCCAUGAGAGCAGAGCCCUGUGGAGCAGGUGGCAAAUGUUGCUCUCUGACUACAGUUCUCUGCUUAGGGAUGCUAACAUAGACUGCCUCAGAUGCAGGCAGGGUGUCCACACUGAUCAGGCAUGGCUUUGCAUUAACAUCUGUAGUGCCGUCUACUUGUGCAGUGAGAUACUAGGAUAUACAACAGAAUAGGUGCUGGAAGAGGUGUCCACUACAGUGUGGACAGACUCUUUGGAUCUGUAUUAAUAACAGCCUCUCCCAUGGAUUAGCUAGUCCAGGCUUUGGUGCUUUAUUUCCUCCCAGAAUAAUGGAGUGUGUACUCCUUAGCUAUUUGUAGCACCAAGAAAAUUAAUCCAGAUGUCAUCUUUUUCUUUUUUUCUCCUCUAGUGUGGCUGGAUACUUGGCAGGGCACACAAUCACAUGGUCUUCAGAUCUUCUAAAAGCUGAUUUUCCUGGGCCUAAUCCCAUGAGAGUUGGAGACAGUCUAUGAUAAUUACUGAUUCAGCUCCUGCUGGUGUUGAACUUACUGAGAAACUUAAACAAGAAUUAAAAUACACACCCACACACGCCUCAGAUGGAGCCAAACACUAAACCAGAUUAGUCUUUUGUGGUUACCUUUUCUUUAGGAUUAGGAGGAUCAGAAAGCAAGAGCAGAUUCUGAAACACUGUAACCCCAUUCCCCACUGGGUCAUAAGAGGCUGGUGCUCUUGAGGACGAAGGUUGGCAGCAGGUGCCAACUAGGUACUGGCUUGUGGUCCCAGCAGAGCUGGCCUGCCACAGCCCAAGCUUCUUGUUUUGGUUGAAAAAUGGGUCUUUUGGCCUUUCAUGCCUGGACAUUCUCUGGAACUCAGAUGUUUGUGAACCAGGUUCAAGGACAUUCUCUGGAACUCAGAUGUUUGUGAACCAGGUUCAAGGACUCUCAAGUUCAAGUCACUGGCAGAUUGGAGAGAAGACCUAGAAGUCUAAGUGUCUGAGGUAAUGAGAGGAGGGACGCAAAGCCUCAAUGAGACUGCAAAGUCACCUGAAUGGGAAAGCUUGCCCUAUUGCUGGCCUCAGCAAUGGCACCUUCAGGUUGUCCCCUGUACGGGUUGAUGAGGGAGCGGAGGACCCCAGGUCUCUUCUUAGUGUCAGCCGUGGCCACAGGUUUCGAUGAAAUUUAGUAUGUUGAUUAGGAGCGUGCCAAAAUCAGAGCAACUCCCCUCCCAAGGGGACGUUCAGUUUUCAGUUGUUAAAAAUACACCCUGAGACAGAAAUUUCAGGACACUUAAGUGACUUUGAAAUCCAUCCAAAGGUUACUCUGUUCCUUCACUCCACACAUCUCAGGCAUUUCCAUGUUGGUCUCAGCUGCCAUGUCAAUGGUUUAUUCUUUUUACAUGUUGGAGCAGAUCUGGACCUCCCAAAACAUUUUGGGGAGAAGUAGACUUAGAGGGGUUUUCCCUGCUCUGUGAGAGAAGGAAUUUAGCAAGCAUUAAUUUUUCUAAGAAGGUGGCACAAGUUUUGAUGUGAUGUGCUGGAAAAUAGUAAUAGUCACAAUUUAUCGUAUUCCCCCAAGAGAAUGGAAUGAUGUUCCCAUAGAAUCUUGCUCAUCCUGUUAGCAAUAACUUAUAUUCUCUUUCUGAUUCACACCAACAAGGAGCAGAGGGUGUUGGUGGGGGAAAUGAUACGGGGAAAUACAGUUUGUUUUUUGCAGGGAUUCAGAAUGUGUCUCUGGACUUCAAGAUAGGAAGAAUGUUUGCCUAAAGGCUGAUGAUAGUAACCACCCCACCCACCAUCAUCUAUUAAGGAUUUACUGUGUGGUCACUUUACAGUCAUCCAAGUAAAUUUCCAUAAUCACCUGAUAAGAUGGGUAUGGCUUUUCAGAAAAAGAAACAUUUCUGGAGGGUAAGUAACACAAAUCAUACAGCUGAGCCAUCUGUCUGCAUCUCAAGCAUCCAGGCAGCAUUCGGCCUCUGUGGGUGUUGUCAAAUGUGCUGGUCUCUGUUAACUCAGGGUUUUGGAUUAAUUGGUGGAGCUGCUCAUUUCCAUAAACACCCAGGAUGCAGUCUGCAGCCUCUAUUUAAAGUGAGGUCCUUGGACGAGCAGCCCGGCAGCACCCAGCAGCUUGUCAGCAUUGCAGAACAUCAGGCACUCCCUGGAGCUACAGCACCAGAUCCCCAGGCAGGCGCACGUGCAUCCAAGUUUGAGCCGCACUGCCUUCUGCUACUACGGAGGAAUCUGACAGGGGAGAGCUGCUACCUCACUUCAGCAAUGGAAAAUGUUGCUGUAAAUCCCAUUAGACCAGCCAGUUCCUCACGACCCUUUAAAACUGAAAACUGGUCAGUAUAGUUUUACAUUCCUUUUCUUUUCCUUAAAACUGUGCCCUUUAAGAAGGCAACUUUUAAAACAUACAGGAGGGUGGCUCUGCUGUGUGUUCAUCCUGUAACACUUGUCGUCAAAGGCAAAGCUCCUGAAACACCUUCUCUGGUCAACCAUGGCGGGCAAGCAGACGCCUGGGCUCGGCCUCGCAGAGCACAAAGGUGGACCCAGAACCCACUGUCCUCAGCGCAGGCGCAGGAGUUAAAGUAACAACACAUCAGAAGGUGACGUCAAGCACACUGAAGAGAUGGAUGAUUUGGUGUCUUACAUUUUCUGGUCCCUCCAAAAUGUCUAAUAUAGACAGCUUUGUGACAGUCUUUUGAGAAGAAUUAUAAUUGGCCAGACAGAAUGACAUUUUUUUUUUCUUUUUAUACACGAUCUCGAAAAUGUGUCAUUUAGAUUCUGCCUUGGGCUGAGCUCUGACAGGUUACAAAACCUGUCAGUUUGGGGAUUUUAGUGCAGAUAUUUUUUUAAAAAUUAAACUCUGGUAAGUACUCAGGAGGCUGAGAACACAGGCCCCUUCUCUCCCCUGAUCCUCUGUAUGCAGGCUAGGACUUAAGCGAGCCCCUUUAUGUUUGGCUAGUGCCACAACAAAACAGCCCCAAACAGGUUGCCAUGAGCAUGCUGGCCUGGCUUGGUAUUUGAUGAUAAAAUCUGAGACUGGUAAGUGCAGUCAGUGUUCAGGAAACAAUCUCCAGGCUCUUCUCCCAUCACCUGGUUUUAAAAUCAGCCUUCAUACAGCUGCUUACCAUCUCUCUGUCCUCUGCAGAUGACCCGGUCCUAGGCAGGGACCAAAAUUCCUUGUCAGCUGAGGAAGUCCUGAAGGAACACCCUGAAGAUGAUGACUGCACUGCCAUUGUGGGCAGAUGCACCUUCUAUCUACCUGAGGGCUGAAGGGGAAAACCUUUCACACACGUGAGGAAGGCGCAGCUCUGUGGAAAGGUCACCAGAAUGGCAGCGGCAGCAAAUAGGGCUCCAAUGCACGUUCGCACUUAACUGGGUCCAAGGAGAGCACGGCCCUCCACAGCAAGUUUGCUCUAUAGAAUAAAGUCCUGAGCUUGUUUUUAUCACAGUUAGACAGAGAAUGGUCUCAUGUUUCUCAGUUAUCCAGGGAAGACCAGUGUAUAUUCUCUGUAGAUGAGUGUUGUCUAAUGUAGUGAUUCAUCUCUGCUAGUGUUAGGAAAGCUCCACUACUGUGUGUGUGUGUGUGUGUGUGUGUGUGUAUGUGUGUGUGUGUGUCUGCAUGCAUGCGCAUGUGCACACACUGCAAUCUUGACUUUCCAAUUACAAAAUGCCUAAGUCAGGUCACAUUGUCUUCUUCCAGCCAGUUUCUAAGGCAGGCAAUGGAAACGGGAGCCGAUGCCAAAAGGUCUAGAGGCAGAAGGGCCGCAUGCUUUGCAGGGCCAGCUCCAAGGCUGCCUUCCAGAGCUGCUCUUUCUCAGGGGAGAGUAAACUCUCACUGCAGCUGCCAGCCCCCUGUGCUCGGGCGGGGGUUGCCCCUCACAUGGACUUGGAAUCCGUGUCUCUCUUGCUGAUGAGCACCUCCAGGAGCCUCAGUUUCGCCUUUAUGUGCUUGUAUUCACUGUAUUCUUCAGCCAUAGGAGUGCGGUCUUCCUUCUGGACAUUUCUAAUGCAAAUAAAGGAAAAAGGGGUCUGAGGAUCAUUUUCUGUCUUUGCUACAUACUCUUCAUCGGGCAAAUUAUCAUUGUGUGUAGAAACUUUGCAGUUUAUCAGCUUGUAAGAUCAGUGUGGCCAAGUGGCCCUUGGUCUUAAGACUGGAGCUGGAUUUAGACAAAUAAUGAAAAUGUUUCACCCAGAAGGCAUCAUGCAACUGAGUUUUUAUAUAAUUAAUCUGGCAUCUUGUAUGACAAGAAGGCUAAGAAAUGCAGCCAUUCUCUCUGCUAAGUAUGAAUUCACAUUGAGCUCAUACACCAGAAUCCUUUAUUGAUAAUUAAUGUUUUCUCAUUCUUAUAUAUUUCAUCUUGUGAACUUUUAAAUUUUUAAUUAGCAACUAGUCCACCCACAACUUAGUGUUUUUUUUUUUUUUUCAAAAACAGAUAGUACUCUUGCUUUCAUAAAACAGUCUUAGAAUUCAGCAGCUGGAUUGCAUAAUACUAUUAUAAUAAGCCUUUAUAGUUUGAGUAACUUUCCAUGCAUCAUAUUUAUAUGCACAAGUAUUCGAGAGCUUAUAGGUCAAGCCCUCUGCUAAGUACUUUGUACCCAUGAUCUAAUAUAACCCUUAUAACACCUUGAUGAGACGGAGCCAUUUCUAUACUACACAUGUUGAAACCAGCACAGGAAAUCAGGUAACUUGCCUGCUCUUGGCCACCAUGCGGUGCACGCUGCUGCUUUGCGUUUUAUGGGAAAUUGCACAUGGCCAACAUUCAAACGUAGGCUUCCUGCCUUUAUUAUUAAAGGGCAAAUGUGGGUAAGGAGGAUAGCAUGGGGCUUAAAUUGUUCAAUGAAUUAAAAACAAACCAAUCUUAUUCAUACCCCGCCUUGUUCUAGGAAAGGAUUCUAGUGGUUUCUCAGGGGGCAGGGUAAGGAACAGGUGCUCAGGAAUUGGAGCAUCUGGAAUGCAGGCGCCCGCUGUACUCUGAGGGCCUUCACUCUCCUCAGACAUGAAGUCAUGGAACCAGAGCUUAUCUCCAAGUCCCUCAUAGUUCUAAACGUUUUUGACAAUUAAGUUAACGUCCUCCAUUGACAUUUUCUUAAAACCUGGGCGUUGCAUAAUUCUACAUGGUUCCUCAUGUAUAAGACAUCCGUGCAUAACGUGACUUAGAAUAUAAAAAAGGAUAACCAAAAAAUAGGCUUAGAUGAAAGAUUGGAAAGAUACACAUCAAAACAUUAAUUCUGAUUUGUCUUUGGUUAUUAUUUUGGGAAUUGCUACUUAAAUUUGCUUACCUAUAUUUUCUAAAUACUCUGCAGUGGGGGGAAAUGAAAAGGAAAUGUUUAGGUAUAAAAAUAUGAGACAUGUCCAAAUCACAGAUCCUAAAAGUAAAUUUACACAAUAAUUGUUAAACUAAACUGAAAUACAAUGUAUUUUAAAUG
Long non-coding RNA from Piliocolobus tephrosceles (Ugandan red Colobus), 6251 nucleotides. RefSeq lists it as uncharacterized. The transcript is spliced from 2 exons. The record is from RefSeq and is a predicted model, not a curated record. Lineage: Eukaryota; Metazoa; Chordata; Mammalia; Primates; Cercopithecidae.